CAGCAGUGGGGAAUAUUGGACAAUGGGGGCAACCCUGAUCCAGCAAUGCCGCGUGGGUGAAGAAGGUUUUCGGAUUGUAAAGCCCUUUUGGCAGGGACGAUGAUGACGGUACCUGCAGAAUAAGCCCCGGCUAACUUCGUGCCAGCAGCCGCGGUAAUACGAAGGGGGCUAGCGUUGCUCGGAAUGACUGGGCGUAAAGGGCGCGUAGGCGGCGAUCAAAGUCAGGCGUGAAAUUCCUGGGCUCAACCUGGGGGCUGCGUUUGAUACUUGGUUGCUAGAGUGGGGAAGAGGGUCGUGGAAUUCCCAGUGUAGAGGUGAAAUUCGUAGAUAUUGGGAAGAACACCGGUGGCGAAGGCGGCGACCUGGUCCUUGACUGACGCUGAGGCGCGAAAGCGUGGGGAGCAAACAGGAUUAGA
This 416-nucleotide ribosomal RNA is filed under the name uncultured Acidisoma sp. RNAcentral's name for it is "bacterial SSU rRNA". It matches the Rfam family "Bacterial small subunit ribosomal RNA", at positions 349 to 782 of the family's 1533-position model. The record is from RNAcentral. Lineage: Bacteria; Pseudomonadati; Pseudomonadota; Alphaproteobacteria; Acetobacterales; Acidocellaceae.